UCUGGUGUCAGCCGCCGCGGUAAAACCAGCACCUCAAGUGGUCAGGAUGAUUAUUGGGCCUAAAGCAUCCGUAGCCGGCUCUGCAAGUCUUCGGUUAAAUCCACCUGCUCAACAGAUGGGCUGCUGGAGAUACUACAGAGCUAGGGAGUGGGAGAGGCAGACGGUAUUCAGUGGGUAGGGGUAAAAUCCUCUGAUCCAUUGAGGACCACCAGUGGCGAAGGCGGUCUGCCAGAACACGUUCGACGGUGAGGGAUGAAAGCUGGGGGAGCAAACCGGAUUAGAUACCCGGGUAGUCCCAGCUGUAAACGAUGCAAACUCGGUGAUGCAUUGGCUUAUGGCCAAUGCAGUGCCGCAGGGAAGCCGUUAAGUUUGCCGCCUGGGAAGUACGGACGCAAGUCUGAAACUUAAAG
This 410-nucleotide ribosomal RNA is filed under the name uncultured Nitrososphaerota archaeon. Its description in RNAcentral is "bacterial SSU rRNA". It matches the Rfam family "Archaeal small subunit ribosomal RNA", at positions 451 to 861 of the family's 1478-position model. The record is from RNAcentral. Lineage: Archaea; Thermoproteati; Nitrososphaerota.